GGAGAAUAACCUAAGAGAAGAAAAUCAGUCUGUGUGGAUUACUGGUUUACUACCUUAUAACCCAGUACUACUAUUUGAUUUCAACACCCAGGAAAGGCAUGUCAUUCUAUGACUGGUGGGAGCAGGAGCAAACAGUGAUUCUCCUGUGAAAUGCUACAGCCUCUUGGGAAAUUAAUCUGCCAUUUGUUCUAGCCUGCAGCAACAGGUACACAAACAGCAAGUCGAAAAAUCUGUCAGAUUUUUUUUGGACACAGCAUCGCUGUCCAAAAGAUUUUUGUGUGCUGAUGGAAACGGUCUAAAUCUGCACUGUCCGGUGGCAGCCACUAGCCCUGAGCAGCUAACAAGUGCCUAGAAAUGCAGGAGAUGCAACCGAGGAACUAAAUUAUCUAUUUUAUUGAGCUUUUGUUAAAUUUAAAUUUACAUAGCUACAAGUGCUUAGCAGCUAUCAUAUUGGACGCUCACCACAGAUCUGGAGACUUUUCAUUGAAUGAGACUUUCCAGAAGCUACAGGGAAUAUUUCAAAAGGCUGAAUGCAGUAGCAGAAAUAAGAUUCUAGGUGACUCCAAAAGACGGACGGAACAGAGAGGAUAAGAAAAAGACCAGCAUUCUACUUUUGGAUUCCUUCAUUGAGCAAAUAUUUAUUGAGCUUCUGAUCUGAGAUAGAGCAGACGGAGCAAUGUCUGAGUCAGACGCACAUUCCCGCUCGAGCUUGUGUUCUCAGCAGCGCUGUCCAAAUGAUACAGGAUGCAAUGACAUGAAAUUAGCUUUAAUAGUACAACCUAAACCAAAAUGUUGGGGCACCUGGGUGGCUCAGUUGGUUAAGCACCUGCCUUGGGCUCAGGUCGUGAUCUCAGGGCCCUGGGAUCCAGCCUGGCAUGGGUCACACUGCUCAGUAGGGAGCCUGCUUCUCCUUCU
This is a long non-coding RNA of Canis lupus familiaris (dog), 915 nucleotides long. RefSeq lists it as uncharacterized. The transcript is spliced from 5 exons. The record is from RefSeq and is a predicted model, not a curated record. Lineage: Eukaryota; Metazoa; Chordata; Mammalia; Carnivora; Canidae.